Molecule: long non-coding RNA, 741 nt
Organism: Hylaeus volcanicus
Lineage: Eukaryota; Metazoa; Arthropoda; Insecta; Hymenoptera; Colletidae
Exons: 3
Source: RefSeq, a predicted model, not a curated record
UCAAUACCUGUGACAAAAUCGCUUUAAUGCUAAAAAACAACGGUGCUCUUACGGAAUUCUGUUGCAUUUGUUCAGUAACAAACUCAACUGUUCUUUCAAACGAUCGAUAGAACAUUUUGGGAAAAAAAAACAAAAGGAUUGCCGGUUAGGGUAGUGCUAAAUACUACAAAAAAAAAAAUUUUAAAACAACUUGAUAGAACGUUUCCAUUUAUUUAAUUGAAGCUUACUAAAACUGUUGUGUGAAGUGUAAGUUUCUGAUUUUUUUAAAAAUUGUCAUCUCCGAUACUUUUCGUCAAAAAUUAAGGAUGAUUAUUAAAAGUGAGAACUUUUUUUUCUCGUGAAAUACGGUAACUUGGUCAUAUAAAACUAAAAUAACGUUUGCAAUGCAGUGAUGGGUACACAUUGAUAAUUUGUUAAGUUAUGUCAACAAAAACGUUUGGACAAGGGUUCCGCAAAUCAAGAAAUUCAUGUUGUUUGUGUUAAAAUAAUUGGGGACUUUCUCAAGGAUCUAGUAUUGAAUUGACACCGCGUGGUAUAUGAAAUCAACAGCUAUGAUUCAAUAAUUUUGUUGAAAUGUUAGGGUUAACAAAUUUCAUGAGAUUAGUAGAGAGACCAAUUGGUUGACGUAAAAAAUACUCUUACAUAAAAAUAUACUUUACUUCCAAUUCUUUCCGGCGGUGCAAGGGUGAAACAACCUUUGUGCCCAUGGUUCAACUUCACAGCGUAUCAAGCAACCAGCGC